CUAACCUACCUCUUUCUCUUUUUCCAGCUUUCUCACUUGUCCACAUGCUUUACGUAGUUUCCAAGGGAGCAUAUUUUUCCAAAGCUGCCUUCACAAGACAUCUUCCUGAGCAAGCCUAUUCUUCCAUAAAUAUCACUCUCAGCCAUCAACCUUUUCAUCAUAAUUUUCCCCGGACAAGCCAAGGCAGAGAAAAAGAGAAAGAGGGUUGCUUGGAGUUAUAGGUAUGGGGGGAUUGGGCAGGAUGGCCUCAAAAAUUUUCUUCCUGGUUUUGUCUUUUGAAUGGGGUUCAAUUCUUCCCAACACCUCCCAUACCCUUGAUUUCAAGCAUUUUCCCCAGCUUUCUCUUCUGUAAGAAGUGAUUCUGACUUGACCUGUCAGGUACAGGAAAUUGCUAUAUGGAUAAAUUGUCGCAUAGAACUGUUUUGACCUGUUACAAAAUAAAUCUGACUCUGGAAGGAGCUUGUUGUAUGAACCUGAAUCGACUGCAACAAGUUCAAUUGUACUUUUGGCAUUCUAAAUUAAAAUCUGAAAUCUUAAAAAGUUUGAUUGUAGUACAAAUGAUAAUGGAUUUUUAAGCAUUUGUAAUUUUUGUAUAGAAGGUAAACAAUUUUAUUAA
Mangifera indica (mango) is the source of this 616-nucleotide long non-coding RNA. RefSeq lists it as uncharacterized. The transcript is spliced from 2 exons. The record is from RefSeq and is a predicted model, not a curated record. Lineage: Eukaryota; Viridiplantae; Streptophyta; Magnoliopsida; Sapindales; Anacardiaceae.